UGAGAAGUCGCCAUUAACAAGUGAGUUCAACUUGAGGCACCCAUGUAGAUUUAUUAAAUGACUGCCAUGUUUCUUAGAUUCUGACAUCUUUUAUUUGUAGCAUCUUCAGGGGUUUUAUGUGUGGAUGUCAUCAUGAAAUAACAACUGAAGAUAUUCCCUACUCUGAGCUUUCCUGCCCAAUCAAUCCAGAAGGCCUUGGAAGCUGACUCACCUUCUUGGUCAAUGUCCUGCUGCUAAAGUGUGGACCUCUCCAUCUUCAUAAGCUUCCUGGGGAAAGCCUGGCACUGAUGACAUUCCAUUGCAUUACAGGGAAAACUCAUUACAUUCAUAUGCUUGAAAUUGUUCCCCCCAAAUCUGAGAUUACCUAUUUGGAUAUCCACUUGGGACUGAAAAAUGAACCCCUCUGAGAAUGGCUGGAUGGAAAUUAGACUGCCUGCUUCUAUCCAGGGGAAGCAAGAGAAGAGGUGCUGCUGUUUAUAGGAGGAUCUACACGCUGCCCUAGAUAGGGCUACAGAAACAGAUUCUCAAAGGGCUGUUGGUCCUCAAUAUGGGGGUAGCUCAAAUUCAACUAUUGGGCCUCAAC
RNAcentral lists this long non-coding RNA (583 nucleotides) under Bos taurus (domestic cattle). RNAcentral's name for it is "long non-coding RNA NONBTAT000557". The record is from RNAcentral. Lineage: Eukaryota; Metazoa; Chordata; Mammalia; Artiodactyla; Bovidae.